GAUCAAUCCAAUAUGUUAAAAAAAUCUCUUUUGAACAUAAAAUUUGUCAUUAUGGCAUGUCAAAAAAAGAUCACCUUAAAUGUGAUUAUUGUAGAAAGCCUAGACAAAUUAAAAGAACUAUUGGAAGCUUCAUGGUAAACAAAUUAGGGGGUCAUGGUAAGUGAAUGGACUCUUUAAGAUCACAAGCUCAUGUGUUAGAGAUUGUAGAGGCAAGUGAACACACCCAUACAAGAGGACUUUCCAAUGAGGAGUUGCAAACGUUAAGAUAACUUGUAUCUCAACUUUAUUUUUCUUCAACCAUGGCUUCCACCAAUUUUGCUAACUCAGGCAAAGAUGAGGUUUAUAUAAAAUAUGAGUCUUUAUCCCCCCAUAAUUGGAAAAGGUUCUAUCAAUUGUACUUUUUUAAUGAAUCUGUCAUCAACACUUCAUAUUCCUAGUUUUCAAUAUAAUCUUACCUAUUAGUGCGUUCAUAAGAUAUAUUAAUUUUAAAGUUGAAUUAUAUCCUUCCCAUUGUAUUUGUUAGGAUCUAAGCACAGGGAAAAUGAUUGGCUAUGGCAGAAUGCAAAAUAGAUUAUAUUUGCUAGAAGGUUGUAAUAUUUGCUAGAAGUUGUACCUCUCUAUUCUCAUCUAGAAACAGAGCAUUGUUAAGAGACUUUAUGAUUGGUAAUCGACAAUUAUUUUGGUCACAUAAACGAAUAGGACACCUAUCCUUUUCUAUUUUAGAAAGAAUGAAUCCUAAUUUCCAAUCUCAGUUGGAUUAUACCAUGGUUCAGCUGUGAGCCCUUGCCAUUUUACAUUAGUUCUAGAUGAAU
Molecule: unclassified non-coding RNA, 812 nt
Filed under: Hevea brasiliensis (rubber tree)
Lineage: Eukaryota; Viridiplantae; Streptophyta; Magnoliopsida; Malpighiales; Euphorbiaceae
Source: RNAcentral